Molecule: ribosomal RNA, 253 nt
Filed under: uncultured prokaryote
Description: partial 16S ribosomal RNA
Rfam family: Bacterial small subunit ribosomal RNA
Source: RNAcentral
ACGGAGGGUGCAAGCGUUAAUCGGAAUUACUGGGCGUAAAGCGUGCGCAGGCGGUCUGUUAAGUCUGUUGUGAGAUCCCCGAGCUCAACUUGGGAAUUGCAAUGGAUACUGGCAGGCUGGAGUACGGUAGAGGAAGGUGGAAUUCCCGGUGUAGCAGUGAAAUGCGUAGAGAUCGGGAGGAACACCAGUGGCGAAGGCGACCAUCUGGGACAACACUGACGCUGAAGCACGAAAGCGUGGGGAGCAAACAGGA